RNAcentral lists this ribosomal RNA (251 nucleotides) under uncultured bacterium. RNAcentral describes it as "partial 16S ribosomal RNA". It matches the Rfam family "Bacterial small subunit ribosomal RNA", at positions 524 to 773 of the family's 1533-position model. The record is from RNAcentral.
UACAGAGGUCCCCAAGCGUUGUUCGGAUUCACUGGGCGUAAAGGGUGCGUAGGCGGUCGGGUAAGUCUGACGUGAAAUCUUCAAGCUCAACUUGGAAACUGCGUCGGAUACUAUUCGGCUAGAGGAAUGGAGGGGAGACUGGAAUACUUGGUGUAGCAGUGAAAUGCGUAGAUAUCAAGUGGAACACCAGUGGCGAAGGCGAGUCUCUGGACAUUUCCUGACGCUGAGGCACGAAAGCCAGGGGAGCAAAC